AUGAAGGCUUUCCGGUCGUAAAGCNCUGUUGUAUGGGAAGAACAGCUAGAAUAGGAAAUGAUUUUAGUUUGACGGUACCAUACCAGAAAGGGACGGCUAAAUACGUGCCAGCAGCCGCGGUAAUACGUAUGUCCCGAGCGUUAUCCGGAUUUAUUGGGCGUAAAGCGAGCGCAGACGGUUUAUUAAGUCUGAUGUGAAAGCCCGGAGCUCAACUCCGGAAUUGCAUUGGAAACUGGUUAACUUGAGUGCAGUAGAGGUAAGUGGAACUCCAUGUGUAGCGGUGGAAUGCGUAGAUAUAUGGAAGAACACCAGUGGCGAAGGCGGCUUACUGGACUGCAACUGACGUUGAGGCUCGAAAGUGUGGGUAGCAAACAGGAUUAGAUACCCUGGUAGUCCACACCGUAAACGAUGAACACUAGGUGUUAGGAGGUUUCCGCCUCUUAGUGCCGAAGCUAACGCAUUAAGUGUUCCGCCUGGGGAGUACGACCGCAAGGUUGAAACUCAAAGGAAUUGACGGGGACCCGCACAAGCGGUGGAGCAUGUGGUUUAAUUCGAAGCAACGCGAAGAACCUUACCAGGUCUUGACAUCCUUUGAAGCUUUUAGAGAUAGAAGUGUUCUCUUCGGAGACAAAGUGACAGGUGGUGCAUGGUCGUCGUCAGCUCGUGUCGUGAGAUGUUGGGUUAAGUCCCGCAACGAGCGCAACCCUUAUUGUUAGUUGCCAGCAUUCAGAUGGGCACUCUAGCGAGACUGCCGGUGACAAACCGGAGGAAGGCGGGGACGACGUCAGAUCAUCAUGCCCCUUAUGACCUGGGCUACACACGUGCUACAAUGGCGUAUACAACGAGUUGCCAGCCCGCGAGGGUGAGCUAAUCUCUUAAAGUACGUCUCAGUUCGGAUUGUAGUCUGCAACUCGACUACAUGAAGUCGGAAUCGCUAGUAAUCGCGGAUCUGCACGCCGCGGUGAAUACGUUCCCGGGUCUUGUACACACC
RNAcentral lists this ribosomal RNA (991 nucleotides) under Leuconostoc mesenteroides. Its description in RNAcentral is "bacterial SSU rRNA". It matches the Rfam family "Bacterial small subunit ribosomal RNA", at positions 408 to 1391 of the family's 1533-position model. Lineage: Bacteria; Bacillati; Bacillota; Bacilli; Lactobacillales; Lactobacillaceae. The record is from RNAcentral.